UACGUAGGGGGCGAGCGUUGUCCGGAGUUACUGGGCGUAAAGGGCGUGCAGGCGGUGGUGCGCGUUUUGUGUGACAGCGCAAGGCUUAACUUUGCGAGGAUACGAAAGACGGCAGCACUUGAGAGCGCGAGAGGGACACGGAAUUCCGGGUGGAGUGGUGAAAUGCGUAGAGAUCCGGAGGAACACCGAAGGCGAAGGCAGUGUCCUGGCGCGCAUCUGACGCUGAGGCGCGAAAGCCAGGGGAGCGAACGGG
RNAcentral lists this ribosomal RNA (253 nucleotides) under uncultured bacterium. RNAcentral describes it as "partial 16S ribosomal RNA". It matches the Rfam family "Bacterial small subunit ribosomal RNA", at positions 524 to 776 of the family's 1533-position model. The record is from RNAcentral.